GAAGGAGAAGGGACAGCUGAGUAACAAAGUCCUGGUACGCAGACGACGAUACUAUUACACUGACAAGAGUGUAAUGAUGAUGGAGACACAAGCCAGAGAAAGGGGGGACCAAACACCAGGCCAGAAUUCUGCAUGAGUCAGAUCCAGUGGGUGCAGAUCAUCAUACAGAUGGUUCAAGUGUGGAUCCACCUAAUAUUCAAGAUUUUCUGUCCUGGGACACUCGGCUAACCAUCAAGAAAGAACACAGUAGGUUAUCAAGAAUCUGACCUCACGUUUGAUCAUUACAAAUUAUGGCAGUACAUUACACAUUUAAGGACUGUUAUUCCUCUGGCUGAUUUAAAAAUACCCAAAAGUUCUUAAAAAGAAGCAGCCCUAGUUAUUUUGGCUUGUUAAACAUAAACUAUAUAAACAUAACUAUUGCGACGCCUCCUUCUAAUGAACAGGUUUAAAUACUUUACUUAUUUCCAUGAGCACAAAUCUUAAUGCUACAGCAUAUGAUAUUCUAGAAAAAACCGUUUGAUGCUAAAUUUAUAGCAAGAGUUUUGGCAGGG
Paramisgurnus dabryanus is the source of this 551-nucleotide non-coding RNA. Lineage: Eukaryota; Metazoa; Chordata; Actinopteri; Cypriniformes; Cobitidae. The record is from RefSeq and is a predicted model, not a curated record.